GACAGAGGGUGCGAACGUUGUUCGGAAUUACUGGGCGUAAAGCGCAUGUAGGCGGCAGCGCAAGUCGGGCAUGAAAUCCCACGGCUCAACCGUGGAAGUGCACUCGAAACUGCGCAGCUAGAGUCCUGGAGAGGAAGGUGGAAUGCUUGGUGUAGAGGUGAAAUUCGUAGAUAUCAAGCGGAACACCGGUGGCGAAGGCGGCCUUCUGGACAGUGACUGACGCUGAGAUGCGAAAGCGUGGGGAGCAAACAGG
RNAcentral lists this ribosomal RNA (253 nucleotides) under uncultured bacterium. RNAcentral describes it as "partial 16S ribosomal RNA". It matches the Rfam family "Bacterial small subunit ribosomal RNA", at positions 524 to 776 of the family's 1533-position model. The record is from RNAcentral.